Molecule: ribosomal RNA, 476 nt
Filed under: uncultured bacterium
Lineage: Bacteria
Description: SSU rRNA
Rfam family: Bacterial small subunit ribosomal RNA
Source: RNAcentral
AGGACGAACGCUGGCGGCGUGCUUAACGACGAUGCAAGUCGAGCGGAAAGGCCCUUCGGGGUACUCGAGCGGCGAACGGGUGAGUAACACGUGGGCAACCUGCCCUUAGCUCUGGGAUAGCUCCGGGAAACCGGAAUUAAUACCGGAUAUGACCUAGGCCGACAUCGGCCGUGGUGGAAAGUUUUUCGGCUAGGGAUGGACUCGCGGCCUAUCAGCUAGUUGGUGGGGUAAUGGCCUACCAAGGCGACGACGGGUAGCCGGCCUGAGAGGGCGACCGGCCACACUGGGACUGAGACACGGCCCAGACUCCUACGGGAGGCAGCAGUGGGGAAUCUUGCGCAAUGGGCGAAAGCCUGACGCAGCGACGCCGCGUGGGGGAUGAAGGCCUUCGGGUUGUAAACCCCUUUCAGCAGGGACGAAGCGAAAGUGACGGUACCUGCAGAAGAAGCGCCGGCUAACUACGUGCCAGCAGCCGC